Molecule: ribosomal RNA, 957 nt
Filed under: bacterium
Lineage: Bacteria
Description: bacterial SSU rRNA
Rfam family: Bacterial small subunit ribosomal RNA
Source: RNAcentral
UCGUGGGGGAUAACGCAGCGAAAGCUGUGCUAAUACCGCAUACGAUCUACGGAUGAAAGCAGGGGAUCGCAAGACCUUGCGCGAAUGGAGCGGCCGAUGGCAGAUUAGGUAGUUGGUGGGGUAAAGGCUCACCAAGCCAACGAUCUGUAGCUGGUCUGAGAGGACGACCAGCCACACUGGGACUGAGACACGGCCCAGACUCCUACGGGAGGCAGCAGUGGGGAAUUUUGGACAAUGGGCGCAAGCCUGAUCCAGCCAUGCCGCGUGCAGGAUGAAGGCCUUCGGGUUGUAAACUGCUUUUGUACGGAACGAAAAGUCUCUUUCUAAUAAAGAGGGAUCAUGACGGUACCGUAAGAAUAAGCACCGGCUAACUACGUGCCAGCAGCCGCGGUAAUACGUAGGGUGCAAGCGUUAAUCGGAAUUACUGGGCGUAAAGCGUGCGCAGGCGGUGAUGUAAGACAGUUGUGAAAUCCCCGGGCUCAACCUGGGAACUGCAUCUGUGACUGCAUCGCUGGAGUGCGGCAGAGGGGGAUGGAAUUCCGCGUGUAGCAGUGAAAUGCGUAGAUAUGCGGAGGAACACCGAUGGCGAAGGCAAUCCCCUGGGCCUGCACUGACGCUCAUGCACGAAAGCGUGUGGAGCAAACAGGAUUAGAUACUCUGGUAGUCCACGCCCUACACGAUGUCAACUGGUUGUUGAGGAUUCACUUCCUCAGUAACGAAGCUAACGCGUGAAGUUGACCGCCUGGGGAGUACGGCCGCAAGGUUGAAACUCAAAGGAAUUGACGGCGACCCGCACAAGCGGUGGAUGAUGUGGUUUAAUUCGAUGCAACGCGAAAAACCUUACGCACCUUUGACAUGUACGGAAUUUGCCAGAGAUGGCUUAGUGCUCGAAAGAUAACCGUAACACAGGUGCUGCAUGGCUGUCGUCACCUCGUGUCCUGAAAUGUUGGGUUAAGU